This 301-nucleotide ribosomal RNA is filed under the name uncultured bacterium. Its description in RNAcentral is "partial 16S ribosomal RNA". It matches the Rfam family "Bacterial small subunit ribosomal RNA", at positions 509 to 809 of the family's 1533-position model. The record is from RNAcentral.
CAGCCCACGGUAAUACGUAGGUGGCAAGCGUUGUCCGGAAUUAUUGGGCGUAAAGGGCUCGCAGGCGGUUUCUUAAGUCUGAUGUGAAAGCCCCCGGCUCAACCGGGGAGGGUCAUUGGAAACUGGGAAACCUGAGUGCAGAAGAGGAGAGUGGAAUUCCACGUGUAGCGGUGAAAUGCGUAGAGAUGUGGAGGAACACCAGUGGCGAAGGCGACUCUCUGGUCUGUAACUGACGCUGAGGAGCGAAAGCGUGGGGAGCGAACAGGAUUAGAUACCCCCGUAGUCCCUGUCUCUUAUACAC